CCUACGGGAGGCAGCAGUAGGGAAUCUUCCACAAUGGGCGAAAGCCUGAAGGAGCAACCCCGCGUGGGUGAAGAAGGUCUUCGGAUCGUAAAACCCUGUUGUUAGAGAAGAAAGGGCGUGAGAGUAACUGUUCACGUUUCGACGGUAUCUAACCAGAAAGCCACGGCUAACUACGUGCCAGCAGCCGCGGUAAUACGUAGGUGGAAAGCGUUAUCCGGAUUUAUUGGGCGUAAAGGGAACGAAGGCGGUCUUUUAAGUCUGAUGUGAAAGGCUUCGGCUUAACCGGAGUAGGGCAUUGGAAACUGGGAGACUUGAGUGCAGAAGAGGAGAGUGGAACUCCAUGUGUAGCGGUGAAAUGCGUAGAUAUAUGGAAGAACACCAGUGGCGAAAGCGGCUCUCUGGUCUGUAACUGACGCUGAGGUUCGAAAGCGUGGGUAGCAAACAGGAUUAGAUACCCUUGUAGUC
Molecule: ribosomal RNA, 465 nt
Filed under: uncultured bacterium
Lineage: Bacteria
Description: partial 16S ribosomal RNA
Rfam family: Bacterial small subunit ribosomal RNA
Source: RNAcentral